Molecule: long non-coding RNA, 8795 nt
Filed under: Physcomitrium patens
Lineage: Eukaryota; Viridiplantae; Streptophyta; Bryopsida; Funariales; Funariaceae
Description: long non-coding RNA (PPAT_LNC005250)
Source: RNAcentral
GAUGGGCAUCAGAGAUGGCACAAUCAAGGAUUCACCAACCUCAAGCUUCAGCACUAAGAAAAGUAACUUUGCCUCUAGUUCAACAAAGACCAUUGGUCUUACAACAAAAAGAGUCCCAAAUUAGCCUUCUAGACAAGUUCGAUGGUAUGCAUUGUCGUAAUACAUAAAGUCUUAUUUGAGAAUGCUCGAGGAACCUGGCAAUGGAAGAAAGAAUGGAAAUUGUAAUAACAAAAUUUUAAUUCUAAUAGAAUACUAACAAUGCUCUAAUUAGACCAUAAUAAUGCUAAACAAGCUUAAACAAAUUCAAAAAAAAUUCAAACAAAUUUCAAACAAAUAAUAAGAAUUCUUAAAAAAAUAUUAAAAGUAUCACAAAUAUCAAUCAAAUAUAUUUCAAUUCAAUCUUAAUUUAAUUCUAGUUAAAAUCCUAUUGAACUUCAUUCAAAAUUUAGGCCAAAACUAAUUGAAUCUUAAAUCCUAAUAAAAUCCUAAAUCCUAAAUCAAACCUAAACAAAUCCCAAUCAAAUCCUAAACCAAAUUCUAACCAAAUUCUAAAUCAAAUCCUAAAUCCUAAAUCAAACCCUAAUCAAAUUCUAAUCUAAAUCUUAAAUUCUAAACCAAACCCUAAUCCAAAUCCUAAAUCCUAAACCAAACCUUAAUUCAAAUCCUAAAUCCUAAACCAAAUCUUAACUAAAUUCUAAAUCCUAAAUCAAAUCCUAACCAAAUCCUAAAUCAAACCCUAGUUAUUCCUAUAAUAGAUUUAAACCUCAAUAAUUAAUGAUUAAACUGUUGAUUUUAACUCAAAUUUUGUAAAAUUCUUAAAAAAUAAUUUAAAAACAACCAAAAAAAAAUUGAAAAGGAUCGGAGAUACCAAAUUGACGAUAACCUCAAAAAUGUGAUUGGGUAUUGACUGGCUUCCUUCUCCAAUCUUGAUGCCAAUCUUACACAGCUAAUAUCUCUCCUUUACAUUGUUCGAUUGAUUUUAAAAUUCUCAUACAUAUACAAAAUCAAGUCUAAUAUCUUUUCAUGUAAGUUUCUCUCCAAUCCAACUAGUACAUUGCAAGAAAGCUUAAAAAUCUCUAUUAGACCUAAAAUUCUACUUUCUAAGACUUUGACUCAUUUAAACCUCAAUAUUCCUUAAUUCAACUAUUAGAUCGAGUUAAAAUUUAUAAUACAUAUUGAAUACAACUAUAAACAUAAAUUCACAAAAUUUCACCCAUAAAUCUAACACAAAACUCUUGAAAUCAUCCAAAAUGUGAACUCCUAUUUUAUCUCAUAAAACCCAAGUCAUCUGAAACUAAUCUUGACUUUGCAAAGCUAUUACAAAGUUAUAAAAACUCUAAAUCAUCCAAAAUCAAUGUUUAUAGAAACCCUAUUCAAUUUGCUAUCAAACUCCAUCCUUUGAUCUGCAAAAGAAUCCCGAAAUCGUCAUCAAGACUCGAUUUUGUGCCCCAAGGUCUGAUUUCGACCCUGGUUUACAACCGGCCCUCUUCGAGUAUCAAUAUCAAAUUUUCUAAGUAAAUUUUUUCUAGAAUUUACUCUUAACUUCCUUCUAAAGAUGACUUUAUUAUUUAUUUUUCCAAUCUACUUUGAUUUGCCUUACUUAUGAUGCUAUAAAGUAAGUAGAAGUCACCUUUCUAAAAGGUAGCAUUGGUACUUUUUAAUUUUUCUACCCCUUUGACUAUUAACUAUAUUUCUAAGAUAAUUUGUUCUAAUUCUUUGAACUAAGAUCUCCUAAAUUAUAAUAAUCUCCACACUCUUUCACCUAUUAGUCGUGUUACAUCAUGACAUCCAACCCUCCUGAAUCUGUACAUCCUCUGGCAUGUGCCAACGAUUCUUCAAUUUAUUGAUGUAGAAUGUUCUUCAUCUUGGUACAAUUCUUGAUCUUUAAUAUGCUCUUCUAUUCCAAUCUCAACAUCUUGUACUGGAGUUUGUUCUUCAUCAAAAUAAAUGACUUCAUCUCUUUGUUUAAAUAACUUGAUUUGUUUGCCUGCUAUGAGUACCUUUAAUUCUAUACCAUCAAGUUCUUGUAAUGAAUAUGUUCCAUUGUUGUGUGCCUUUUUGACAAUAUAAGGUCUAAACUAUCACUUUGGAAACUUCUUCAUAGUGCUAUACUGAUUGUCUAAGCUACUAUUAUAAACUAGUAUCCAAUCACCAUCUUCAAUAGCCUUAGGUCAUAGUCGAUAUUUUUUAUCAAAUCUUUCUUUAUUCUUUUCUCUUGCUUUGUUCAAUUUUUUUAUUGCUAUUUCAAUAUCAUUGGGUCUUCUUUCUAGUUUUUGAAUCCAUAAUGCUUAAAGUCCUUCUCUAUUGAGAUCAUUCUUCGAAGGCAAUACACCCCAUGUAGGUAUUACAUCUUCUAUUAGCAUUAUUAGUUUUUGUCCAUAUAUUUAUUCAAAAGGCAUAUAACCUGUUACCAAACUAUGAGUUGUAUGAUCUACCCAUAUACAAAUGGUAGUAGUCUAAGCUAUAUAUGUAUUUUUCCAUUGCAUGCCUUUACUAAUGCCUUAACAAUAGGUGAAUGCCUACGCUCACUUUUACCAUUACCUUCUGGAUUAUAUGCUGUUGUUAAAGAAAGUUUAAUUUCUAUUCUAUUAAAGAAUUCUCGUGCUUCUUUUGCAUCCAAUUCACCCCUAUCCGCUAUAUUUUUUUCAAUACAACCAUAGCAAUAAAUAACUUUUUUUAAUAGAAAUCGGUAUUUUCCUUUAGUAUCCUUUGUUCUUAAUACUCGUCCUUCAAUCAUAUUUGAUAAAUCUUCUUGUGCAAGUAUCAAAUACUUCAUUUGUCUAAGUCCCAUAGGCAUUGCCACUAAAUCCACCACCCACUUGUAAUGUAAAGCCAACAGAUAUGUUUGAUGUAAUCCAUCUCGAUGCCAAAUAUUUGAAUAUACUUGAUAAAUCUCACAAGAUUCUAUAAAUUUUGCUAUGACUUUGUACAUUUCCUUCUACCAAUAUUUUUCUCUUAACUUAGUGAAUGUUGUCCAAAUAUCUCGAUGCCCUACCCAUAAAUUUUCACGAAAUUCUUUAAUAAUUCUUUGUUGAGCUUCUAAACUACAUAUCACCCUUUGUAGUACUUCUCUUCUCUUUUUUGGAUGCUUCCAUAAAUAUCCAUCAUGUAAAAAAUAUCCAUAGGCUUUCUUACGGAUUUUCAUAAAUUCUUGAUCCAUCCAACUUUUUUGUCACUUUAAUGUGCUUAAAUACUCUCCAACAUCUUUCCAUUCAUUUUCAUAUAAAUCUCUUAAAAAUAUUUUCAAUGGUAUAUUAAAAUAUACACCCUUUUUCUUUGAUAAUGCAUUGGUAUAAAAUUUUGUAUCCACAUUAUCUUCUAAAUCAAUCAUCUUUUCUUCAUCAUUAUACCUUGCUCUUAAUAACAUAUCUGUAACUGAAUUUUCUAUCCCUACAAUAUGUUUAAAUUUUAGAUUCAUAGAUUUGAUAUAUGCUAUCCACCUCAACAUAGCAAUAUCAGGAGUUGAACAACUUGUAAUCAUACCUAACAAAGGUAGACAAUCUGUUUCUAUAACUACUAAUGUCCCAAUCAAAUACUCUUUUUCAUUUUUCAUAGCUAUUACUCCACCUCAUAAUUCUCUUUUGAUUUGCGCAUAUGCUCUUUGCUUGGAAUUCAAUACCUUUGCUCCAAAACUUACUAAAUAUCUAUUUCUUUGUUCAUCAUCUUGUCCAACUAUCCAACCAAUUCCAAUUGGACUUGCAUCAACUGUUGAUACUACAAGCCUUCCACCUUCAUAAUUUAUUUUCAUAAAAGUUGGAGAUGAAGAAAGAAGUUCCUUCAAUUUUUCCACAGCUUUUCGUUGUUCUUCUUUCCAUUGAAAUUUUUGAUUCUUUCUUAACAACUCAUACAAUAGAUCUGCUAUAUGUGCAAAGUGAGAUAUCCACGUAUGAUACAAAAUAUAUGCUCCUAAAAAUCUUCUCACUUCCGUUGUAUUUAUAUAUUCUUUCAUCUUUUUAAUAAUAUCAAUCUUUUGUAUACUUGGCUUACGUCCAUAUGAACCACACAUGUGUCCUACCAUGAAAAUUUCUUUUACUCCAAACAUUGAUUUUGCCCCCCGAUAAGGUUAAAUGAACUUCUUCCAAUCUUUUCAAAAUCUUCUCACAAUCUUCAAUAUGAUCUGCCACAAACUUCUUACAUCCCAUUGAAUCUAAAGUCUCAUCUUUUCUUUCUUCUUCACAUCCUUUAAUAGGUAUAUCAUCUAAAAAAGGUAUUAUUAUCUUUGGAAUAAAAUCUCUUAAUACCUUAUGCAUUCCAUUCAUCAUAUGUACUACAUAAUUUGUAGCCUCUUGUGAUAAUGUGCACAUUUUAACUAAUCCUAAUGGUAUCUUCAUAGUUGUCUAAUCCCUAAUUUAUAUUGCCAAUUAAAAUUGAUCAUAAUCUUAAUAAAGAUCACCCAUUAACUAGAUAGCUCUUCUAGCAAAUCCUUCUACAAAUUCAUCCACAAUCGGACUUGAAUCCAUAUUUCUAAUAGUCACUUUAUUUAUAGGUUGCAUAUCUUGUAUAAAUCUCAUCAUUCCAUUUUUCUUUGGUAUUCUAAACUAUCGAUUAGAAUAAGGUGCCAUAGAUGGUUCCAAAAUUCCCAUUUUAAUCUUUUUAUUGAGUAAAUCUACUAAUAUAGACAAAUGUACUCUUGGUACUGGAAUUGGUCCUAAAUUCCAUGGUUCAUGAAGAAUAGUAAAAAUAACCAUGGGUGCUACAAUAUUUGGAUCAACACACCCAAUUUCAUGUGACUCAAAUACAAAAGCCUUUCUAUGACGUGAAAGCAUAUUUCUAAAAUAUUUUUCUUCACAUUUUGUCAAAAAUCCAUCACCUCCAACAUUUAAUCCAUCUAAAAUAACGUCCAUAAAUUUAUGCCCUAUCUUCCUUAGAUCUCUUAAAUUUGGUUGUAUCAAUGCUCCACUUAUCUUUUCUUCACAAUCAGAUGGUAGUAGCAAAGCCACUGGUUUGACCUUUUUUACUAUUGAUUUAUACUUAGUUUCAAUACAUACCUCUUUGCGACUUAAAUUUUUUAUUAAUCCUUAAAUUUCAUUAUAAAAUUCUUUAGAAUACACAUUAAUAACUCUAUUCUCUAAUUAUAAUUCAUAUUAUAAUAGAUAAUUUAAUUCCUUCAUAGUAUCUAUAAAACCUACUUCUUCAUAUGUUCUUGAAAUAAAUUCAUUUUCAACCAAUUCUCCAUUUUCUUUCAAAUUUUGCUCAAUAUUUUUAAUAUAACAUUUGUCCCUCCUUUUCAUCUUGUCAAUAGUUUUAAAAGUCAAUACAUAAUCUUGUAUUAUUUCAAUAAGUCCAGUAGAUAAUAUUUCUCUUCUAAAUUAAGCAAGAGCUUUUCUUUCUCUAAUCCAUUGCAACCCCACCUUACAAUGGUGUGCGAUAAAAACCCUCAAAGUCUUCAAAUUUCUCAUUUGAUAAUGGCUUCUCUCUCAACUUAUCAUGAUUUCUCUCAUGAUUAGUACAAACAGUUAAAAAUUGAACUGCUUUCAUUCCAUCUUGGCUUCUUAUUCUUGCAUAGGCCAAACCGUCAUUUAUUACUUUUGUUUCUAUUUGUAUAGAAAUAAUAUAUAGUUGUUCCAAUAUAAUAGGAUAUGUAGACAUGUCUUAUAUAAAGAAAUUUUAUUCAUGAAUAGCAUCUUCUAUUGUCACCUUGAUAUUUGGAUAUACUCCAUACAAAUCUCCCUUUGAAUUAUUUGCAAUUCUUAUCAUCCACCCAUGUUCAGUAUCAAUAGGCCAUUUUUCCUUGUUAUACAAUUCUUUUGACAUCAAAUUGAUUUCAGAACCAUGAUCAAUGAAUGCUUCAAUUAGUUCUUUUAAAUUUUCUAAUUUUAUUAAAGUCUCCAUCAUAGCCCUUGCUUAAUGACUUUUAGAAUAAUGACUAGAAGCUUGAAUGAUAUCUUCUUUUUCUACAAAUCUUAUUCGGAAGACAUCCCCAAAAUUUUAUAUUUCUUCUUCUUCAUCUUCAUUUCUUUCCAUUGCUCUUGUUUCUUGUACAUUUGAUAUCAUAGAGUCUCCUAUAGAUUGUCAUUUUCUCUUUAUUGUAUCAAUAAUAACUUCAUGAAACUCACGCUUUGCAAUUCUUAGAAUUUUACUAAUUGUGAAUUCAACCUUUUCACUUAAAAUCCGCUCCUCCAAUACCUUCUUCAAAUUUGUAGUAGCUUCAAUAUCUGAUUGUAAUUUAUAAGCAAGAGCCUUUGCUUUUUUUUUUUUAAGUUCCCUUCUCUUUGUAGAAAUAUUCUCUAUUAUCUCUUUAUGAAUAAGAUUCUUUUGUUGUCUUGUUUUUUCUCCCCUUGUAGUUCUUUUUGAGGGGCCUUCAUUAUUUUCAUCUCUCUUUCAUUUUUUUUCUAUUAAUGUUUCAUGCUGACUCCUUGUAAUAUGAGCAUGUACAGAUAAUCUAUCUACUGGAUCAUCUCACCUAGUAAUUUGUCAAAUAUUAUUAUCAACACGUUUUAAAUCAUCUCUAGUAAAAUUUCUCCUUUUAGCAUAACUCAUUGCACUUGUCUACAAAGAACUAGAUUCUCCUGGAAACUCAAGAUUUAUACUUAAAUAUCUACUAGAAUCUUCUUCCACCCAAUAUGUUGAUGCUUCAUUGCUUAAGAUUGUAUGCACUUUAAAAGUAUCUCCAACAAAUAACUUCAUUCCUCUUUUACCAAAAUUUGUUUAUAAUUUUUCUUCACUUUCUUUUGAGUGUAUCAUACCAUCUUUAAAAAAAACAACUCCUUUACGUAAUGCCUGUAUAAAAUCUUCACAUUCCCUCCUUAAGUGAUCGAUGCUAUCACACCACAUGCACCUAUGUACUACACCCUCCAUUGGCCCUAGUCUUUGUUUUGUUGAUAUUUUUGAUGAUUGACCCUUCACUUUAAGUUUUAUAAAUUUUAUUUACAAAUAUCUCAUCCUACAUAUAAUUUCACCAAUUCCUAUUUCUUCUUUCUUUGAUGUAGCCAUUAAAGGUUGAAUCAAAGAUGUCGGAUGGAUAUUAGAUACUUUUACCUAAGAUGCUUGUAAUGAUCUUUGGUCACCCCUCAUAUCUUUUUUUCUUUCUCUUUUUGUAAAUGACCUUACAACCUCCUCUAUCUUUUUCUAAUUUGUUGUCAAUCCUUCAUCUUCUUCUUUAUCUUCAAGCAUGAUUUCCAAGUUCUCUUGUAACUUUCCAUCAGCUGCUUGAAGAAAGAGCUCCACCUUACUUGGAUCCAAUAAUUGUCUUUCUUUCUUUGAUAAAGAAGAAUAUUACUUUUCAAACUUCCUUAAAAAUUUUGUUGCUAGAAGAUCCUUCUCUGGCCUUUCAAUCCAUUCAAAAAAAGACCUUUUUGUAAUCCUAUCACUAUCUUCCAAGAAAAACUCAUUCUCCAAUGCUUGAGAAAAUUUCUCCCAUGUACCUCCAAAAUAUUAUAUAAGAUACUUUAUUUGAUUUCUUAUCUCUUAUGCAAAGGCUAAUUCAAAUAAUUGAACCAUCUCUUUAUCUGAAAUAUGCUUCAAUUCUAUUUCCUUUAUAUGACAUCUUAAAUAUUUUGUAAUAUCAUUUCCUUCAAAUUGAUCGAUCUUGUCCACAACCGCUUGUAAUGCUUUGUUAGCCAUAUUAUCUUUGUGAUCUUUAACCUAUCGCUGUUGCUAUUGCAUGAAUAAGGCCAAAGCUUCAAACAUGCUUGCAGAGUUAUGAUCAAAAUACAUACCUUGUCCUCCAAUCAAAGCUCUUCUUCCAACUCUACUUGAAGCACCACUUCCAACUCUACUCGAAGCACCAUCAAAAACUCCUCCUUCCAUUCUCCUUAAAUUUCUUUUCUAAAAUUCAAAUAAUCCAAAAAAUAAACCAAAUUCCUUCCACCUCAAGCAUUUCAUGUCGGAUUCACCAAAUAUAUUGUAAUAUGUAGUCUUACUUGAGAAUGCUCGAGGCACCUAGCUAUGGAAGAAAGAAUGGAAAUUAUAAUAAAAAAUUUUUAAUUCUAAUAGAAUACUAACAAUACUCUAAUUAGACCAUAAUAAUACUAAUCAAGCUUAAAAAAAUUCAAAAAAAACUCAAGGAAAUUUCAAACAAACAAUAAGAAUUCUUAAAAAAAUAUUAAAAGCAUCACAAAUAUCACUAAAAUAUAUCUCAAUUCAAUCUUAAUUUAAUUCUAGUUAAAAUUCUAUUGAACUUCAUUCAAACUUUAGGCCAAAACUAAUUAAAUCUUAAAUCCUAAUAAAAUCCUAAAUCCUAAAUCAAACCCUAAACAAACCUUAAAUCAAACGCCAAUCAAAUCCUAAAUCAAAUCCUAAUCAAAUCCUAAAUCAGAUCCUAAUCAAAUCCUAAUCCAAAUCUUAAAUCCUAAAUCAAACCUUAAUCCAAAUUUUAAACCCUAAAUCAAAUCCUAAUUCAAAUUCUAAACCCUAAACCAAAUCCUAACUAAAUCUUAAAUCCUAAAUCAAAUCAUAAUCAAAUCCUAAUCCAAAUCCUAAAUCCUAAAUCAAAUCUUAAUCCAAAUCCUAAAUCCUAAAUUAAACCCUAAUUCAAAUCCUAAACCCUAAACCAAAUCCUAAUCAAAUUCUAAACCAAAUCCUAAACCCUAAACCAAACCUUAACCAAAUUCUAAACCAAAUCCUAGUUAUUCCUAUAACAGAUUUAAACCUCAAUAACUAAUGAAUAAUCUAUUAAUCUUAACUCAAAUUUUGCAAAAUUCUUAAAAAAUAAUUUACAAACAAGCACAAAAAAAUUGAAAAGGAUCGGAGAUACCAAAUUGACAAUAACCUCAAAAAUGUGCUUGGAUAUUGACUGGCCUCCUUCUCCAAUCUUGAUGCCAAUCUUACAUAGCUAAUAUCUCUCCUUUGUACUA